This 395-nucleotide ribosomal RNA is filed under the name Episymploce sundaica. RNAcentral's name for it is "partial small subunit ribosomal RNA". Lineage: Eukaryota; Metazoa; Arthropoda; Insecta; Blattodea; Blattellidae. The record is from RNAcentral.
UAUUAUUUUAGAUGUAAAAUAUUUAAACUUGAGUAGUAUUAGAAUAAGGUCUUGAAACUUAAAGAAUUUGGCGGUAUUUUAGUCUAUUUAGAGGAAUCUGUCCCGUAAUCGAUAAUCCGCGUUGGACCUUACUUGGUUUAAAAAUAUGUAUACCGCUGUUGUUGAAAAUCUUUUUAGAGUUAAUUUUUUUAAUAUUUGUUAAAUAAUUUUUCAGGUCAAGGUGCAGUUUAUAAUCAAGUGGAGAUGGAUUACAAUAUUUAUUAAAUAUACGAAUUUUUACUUGAAAUUAGUAAUAUAAAGGUGGAUUUAAUAGUAAUAUUAUGAAGAUUGUUAAUAUGAUUGUAGCUCUAAAAUAUGUACACAUCGCCCGUCGCUCUCGUUAUGUUUAAGGUGAG